CAGUUCAACCGAUUUUUCAAACAUUAAGGGCUUGUUUGGUUCAAUGGUGGAAUUGUAAUGUGUAAUGGAAUGGGAAUGAAUUAGAAUGGUAAUUGGAAUGGCCCAAUCUCCCAAGACGUUUGGUUUAUUUGUGGAUUGAAAAUUGGAAUGAGUUAUUCACAUUUCAUUGUUUGGUUCGUAUAAACUAAAAAAAUUAUAUGAUACUAUAAUGCUAAUUUUACUUUCAAAUAUAAAUUUAUAUUAUUUAAAAUUUAUGAAAAAUAUAAUACUAUUCUCUAAUAAGUUUUUCAAAAAAAAUAUCAAAUUUAUUUUUAAAAUUUUUUAUUAAUGUGGGUUAGGAAUAGGGUUUUGAGAGAGAAUAGAUUUUUUUUUUUUUUUUUUGAUGAGAAAGGGGUGAAGAGAAGGAGGAUGAGAUGGUCACAUGGGCUUCAAGAACUUAGUGGGCUUCCGGAAUGAAAUCUCAAUCCGGGCUAGAAGACCGGAAUCAAAUUGAAGGCUAAUGGGCCAUUCCUAUUCCAGUCUGGAAUAGGAAUCCCAAACCGAUUCAUGCGAACCAAAUAAAAUUAACCGGAUUUGGUCAAACCGAUUCCCAUUCCAUACCCAAAAUAGAUGAACCAAACAAACCCUAAUGGUAAGUUAUUUCCGUAAGGUCUCAUUAUUACCGAUUUUACUAACAUUAAUGGUAAGUUAUUUCUGCAAGGUCUCAUUAUUUAGUUAGCUGAGCAGUCAACAAUCAGCCUGAGCUUUCUUGGAUGGUGAAUAGGGCUGGCAAAUGAGCGAGCCGGCUCGUGUUCGACUCGCGUUCGGCUUGAUAUUCAGCUCGUUCGAGCUCGGCUCGAAUUAAUUUCAAGCCGAGCUUGAGCCUAAAUUUAGACUUGAAAUUAAUUUCAAGCCGAGCUUGAUUAUAUAUAUAUAGAGAGAGAGAGAGAGAGAGAGAGAGAGAGAGAGAGAGAGAGAGAGUUGGACAGAGCUACUAUUAUUAGCAAAUCCUAUUAUUGCUAUCAGUUUUUUAGUCUUUGGAUCAACUCUUUUUAUUAUUUCUAACCAUUGGAUUAAAUACUAUAACCCAGUGGGAACCACUCAACCCUAGGGGGACCAUUCAACUCUAACCGACUAAUAUCAUCCUGAUCCUACAAUUUUUCAUCCAAGGGUUAAAAACUUGAUAGCAAAAAAAAUGUUUUACUAUUAAUAGUAUUCCAGCCUAAUUCUAUAUAUAUAUAUAUAUAUAUAUAUAUUAGUCUACUAUAUUAUUAAUAGUACCGACUACUUGCUAUUAGGUUUUCGGCUAUUGGAUGAAGGGAUGUGCGGUUAGGAUGAUAGUGAUCCUUUAGGAUUGAGUUGGUGGUUAGUUGAAUAGUAUGAUCUAUCAUGUGGAAAUGGUCAAAGGAGUAGAUCUAACGGCACAAAAUUCGAUAGUACUAAGCAUUUGGUACUAUCGAUAAUAUAGUAGCCGGACUCUAUAUCUCUCUUUAUAUAUAUAGUUCGGCUAUUCUACUAUCUAUAGUACCAAUCGUUUUGUGCUAUC
RNAcentral lists this long non-coding RNA (1525 nucleotides) under Ananas comosus (pineapple). RNAcentral describes it as "long non-coding RNA (ACOM_LNC021818)". The record is from RNAcentral. Lineage: Eukaryota; Viridiplantae; Streptophyta; Magnoliopsida; Poales; Bromeliaceae.